RNAcentral lists this ribosomal RNA (397 nucleotides) under bacterium enrichment culture. RNAcentral's name for it is "bacterial SSU rRNA". It matches the Rfam family "Bacterial small subunit ribosomal RNA", at positions 521 to 916 of the family's 1533-position model. The record is from RNAcentral.
UAAUACGAAGGGUGCAAGCGUUGUUCGGAUUUACUGGGCGUAAAGCGUCCGUAGGUGGUUUGUUAAGUCAGUGGUGAAAUCCCAGGGCCCAACCCUGGAACCGCCUUUGAUACUGGCAAACUGGAGCGUGAUAGAGGAAGAUGGAAUAUCUGGUGUAGGGGUGAAAUCCGUAGAUAUCAGAUGGAACACCAAUGGCGAAGGCAGUCUUCUGGAUCAUUGCUGACACUGAGGGACGAAAGCGUGGGGAGCAAACAGAAUUAGAUACUCUGGUAGUCCACGCCCUAAACGAUGCAUGCUUGUUGUUGGGUUCCUUCGGGGAUUCAGUGACGAAGCUAACGCGUUAAGCAUGCCGCCUGGGGAGUACGAUCGCAAGAUUAAAACUCAAAUGAAUUGACGG